This 293-nucleotide ribosomal RNA is filed under the name Escherichia coli. RNAcentral describes it as "partial 23S ribosomal RNA". It matches the Rfam family "Bacterial large subunit ribosomal RNA", at positions 379 to 677 of the family's 2925-position model. Lineage: Bacteria; Pseudomonadati; Pseudomonadota; Gammaproteobacteria; Enterobacterales; Enterobacteriaceae. The record is from RNAcentral.
ACAAAAAUGCACAUACUGUGAGCUCGAUGAGUAGGGCGGGACACGUGGUAUCCUGUCUGAAUAUGGGGGGACCAUCCUCCAAGGCUAAAUACUCCUGACUGACCGAUAGUGAACCAGUACCGUGAGGGAAAGGCGAAAAGAACCCCAGCGAGGGGAGUGAAAAAGAACCUGAAACCGUGUACGUACAAGCAGUGGGAGCACGCUUCGGCGUGUGACUGCGUACCUUUUGUAUAAUGGGUCAGCGACUUAUAUUCUGUAGCAAGGUUAACCGAAUAGGGGAGCCGAAGGGAAAC